GAUGAACGCUGGCGGCGUGCCUAAUACAUGCAAGUCGAGCGAACAGAUGAGGAGCUUGCUCCUCUGACGUUAGCGGCGGACGGGUGAGUAACACGUGGAUAACCUACCUAUAAGACUGGGAUAACUUCGGGAAACCGGAGCUAAUACCGGAUAAUAUAUUGAACCGCAUGGUUCAAUAGUGAAAGACGGUUUUGCUGUCACUUAUAGAUGGAUCCGCGCCGCAUUAGUUAGUUGGUAAGGUAACGGCUUACCAAGGCAACGAUGCGUAGCCGACCUGAGAGGGUGGUCGGCCACACUGGAACUGAGACACGGUCCAGACUCCGACGGGAGGCAGCAGUAGGGAAUCUUCCGCGAUGGGCGAAAGCCUGACGGAGCAACGCCGCGUGAGUGAUGAAGGUCUUCGGAUCGUAAAACUCUGUUAUUAGGGAAGAACAAAUGUGUAAUUAACUAUGCACGUCUUGACGGUACCUAAUCAGAAAGCCACGGCUAACUACGUG
This 497-nucleotide ribosomal RNA is filed under the name uncultured bacterium. Its description in RNAcentral is "partial 16S ribosomal RNA". It matches the Rfam family "Bacterial small subunit ribosomal RNA", at positions 28 to 507 of the family's 1533-position model. The record is from RNAcentral.